GACGAACGCUGGCGGCGUGCUUAACACAUGCAAGUCGAACGAAGUGGCGAACGGGUGAGUAACGCGUAAUCAACCUGCCCUUCAGAGGGGGACAACAGUUGGACACGACUGCUAAUACCGCAUACUGAAGGAGGGUAUUGCGUCUGAUUAGCUAGUUGGAGGGGUAACGGCCCAACAAGGCGAUGAUCAGUAGCCGGUCUGGUAGGAUGAACGGCCACAUUGGGACUGGGACACGGCCCAGACUCCUACGGGGGGCAGCAGUGGGGAAUCUUCCGCAAUGGACGAAAGUCUGACGGAGCAACGCCGCGUGAGUGAUGACGGCCUUCGGGUUGUAAAGCUCUGUUAAUCGGGACGCGGUACCGGAAUAGAAAGCCACGGCUAACUACGUGCCAGCAGCCGCGGUAAUUC
RNAcentral lists this ribosomal RNA (408 nucleotides) under uncultured bacterium. RNAcentral's name for it is "partial 16S ribosomal RNA". It matches the Rfam family "Bacterial small subunit ribosomal RNA", at positions 28 to 526 of the family's 1533-position model. The record is from RNAcentral.